RNAcentral lists this ribosomal RNA (769 nucleotides) under uncultured bacterium. RNAcentral's name for it is "bacterial SSU rRNA". It matches the Rfam family "Bacterial small subunit ribosomal RNA", at positions 66 to 849 of the family's 1533-position model. The record is from RNAcentral.
ACGGUGAUCUCGUAGCUUGCUGCGGGUGAUCAGUGGCGAACGGGUGAGUAACACGUGAGUGACCUGCCCCUGACUCUGGGAUAACUCCGGGAAACCGGUGCUAAUACUGGAUAUGACUGCUCAUCGCAUGGUGGGUGGUGGAAAGUUUUUCGGUCAGGGAUGGACUCGCGGCCUAUCAGCUUGUUGGUGGGGUAAUGGCCUACCAAGGCGACGACGGGUAGCCGGCCUGAGAGGGUGACCGGCCACACUGGGACUGAGACACGGCCCAGACUCCUACGGGAGGCAGCAGUGGGGAAUAUUGCACAAUGGGCGCAAGCCUGAUGCAGCGACGCCGCGUGAGGGAUGACGGCCUUCGGGUUGUAAACCUCUUUCAGCUCUGAAGAAGCGUAAGUGACGGUAGGAGCAGAAGAAGCACCGGCUAACUACGUGCCAGCAGCCGCGGUAAUACGUAGGGUGCGAGCGUUGUCCGGAAUUAUUGGGCGUAAAGAGCUUGUAGGCGGUUUGUCGCGUCUGCUGUGAAAACUCGGGGCUCAACCCUGAGCGUGCAGUGGGUACGGGCAGACUAGAGCGUGUAGGGAGACUGUAUUCUGUUACGGUGGAAUGCACAGAUAUCAGAGGAACACCGAUGGCGAAGGCGGGUCUCUGGGCCAUAACUGACGCUGAAAAGCGAAAGCAUGGGGGAGCGAACAGGAUUAGAUACCCUGUAAGUUCCAUGCCCGUAACGUUGGGGCACUAGGUGUGGGGUCUCAUUCCACGAGGUCCGUGCCGC